Long non-coding RNA from Globicephala melas (long-finned pilot whale), 877 nucleotides. RefSeq lists it as uncharacterized. The record is from RefSeq and is a predicted model, not a curated record. NCBI's taxonomy places the organism in Eukaryota, Metazoa, Chordata, Mammalia, Artiodactyla, Delphinidae.
GCGGUGGAGGAGUAGGCAGGGUGUGAUGCCCGCGGUUUCGGUUGGCUUAGUCUCCUGCGCGGUCCCACGAGAGGCUCUGGGAAGGGGAAGGGAAAGCACGUAACCUGCUGCGCUAACGACCAUCCGUCCCUCACUACCUCGGCCCUGACCUCCCUCCCGGUCUCUCGCCAGCGCCACUGGGUGGGGCCUGUCGGGGGCCGCCUGGCCCACCUUCAGUAGUCAAGCCGGGAGUGGAUACGUGCUCAUCCCCGGGGAAGCCCAGAGGACGGGACGAGCCACGGGCAGAAGAGGUUUCUGCAGAAGCUCGGACACCCGAGCCUCUGCCGAAAUAUUGAACCCAACCAGUCACAUCAAGCAUUUAUUAAGCACCUACUGUGUUAGGCAGAGAGCACCGUAGAACUGAAGGUGAAAAGAAACUUAGAUCUCAAAUCAGUAAGCAGGAAGUACCAAGUGACCACUUCAAACAAUUGCAGAUUCCUGAAGGACAAGGACGGCAAGCAUCUUGCUCUCAGUUGUUUCCCCACAACCUAAGAUAAAAAAUACCACGUAAUUGAAGAAGUGUGAAAUACAGCAUUUGUAUGGCAGAAAAAGGCUGUAUGUGUGUCAAAGGUCUGCAAGCAUUCUACGUAGCUUUGCCCCAUCCUUCCAGUUUGUAGUUACCCUCAGUACAACUAUUGAGUAUCUUGUCAACAUCCAAUCUCUAUAUAUGCUCAUCCUCGUGGAACUAAGUUGCAGUGAGUAUUACUACAUCUUAAAGAAGGAUCCAGUUAUUUGCAACUGAUUAAAUGAGAUAUAACCUAAGUACAAAAUGUAAAGAACAAAUGUGUGGGGUUACUUUUGUUGUAAAUGAAGAAAUCCAACACAGCUGGAUUUUUAU